Molecule: ribosomal RNA, 489 nt
Filed under: uncultured bacterium
Lineage: Bacteria
Description: partial 16S ribosomal RNA
Rfam family: Bacterial small subunit ribosomal RNA
Source: RNAcentral
GUGAACGCUGGCGGUAGGCCUAACACAUGCAAGUCGAACGGCAGCACAGGAGAGCUUGCUCUCUGGGUGGCGAGUGGCGGACGGGUGAGGAAUACAUCGGAAUCUGCCCAGUCGUGGGGGAUAACGUAGGGAAACUUACGCUAAUACCGCAUACGACCUUCGGGUGAAAGAGGGGGAUCGCAAGACCUCUCGCGAUUGGAUGAGCCGAUGUCGGAUUAGCUAGUUGGCGGGGUAAUGGCCCACCAAGGCGACGAUCCGUAGCUGGUCUGAGAGGAUGAUCAGCCACACUGGAACUGAGACACGGUCCAGACUCCUACGGGAGGCAGCAGUGGGGAAUAUUGGACAAAGGGCGCAAGCCUGAUCCAGCCAUACCGCGUGGGUGAAGAAGGCCUUCGGGUUGUAAAGCCCUUUUGUUGGGAAAGAAAUCUUUCAGGCUAAUACCCUGGGAGGAUGACGGUACCCAAAGAAUAAGCACCGGCUAACUUCGUG